This 432-nucleotide ribosomal RNA is filed under the name uncultured bacterium. RNAcentral describes it as "partial 16S ribosomal RNA". It matches the Rfam family "Bacterial small subunit ribosomal RNA", at positions 29 to 505 of the family's 1533-position model. The record is from RNAcentral.
AGCGAACGCUGGCGGCAGGCCUAACACAUGCAAGUCGAACGAACCUUUCGGGGUUAGUGGCGGACGGGUGAGUAACACGUGGGAACGUGCCUUUAGGUUCGGAAUAACUCAGGGAAACUUGUGCUAAUACCGAAUGUGCCCUUCGGGGGAAAGAUUAAUCGCCUUUAGAGCGGCCCGCGUCUGAUUAGCUAGUUGGUUGAGGUAAUGGCUCACCAAGGCGACGAUCAGUAGCUGGUCUGAGAGGAUGAUCAGCCACAUUGGGACUGAGACACGGCCCAAACUCCGACGGGAGGCAGCAGUGGGGAAUCUUGCGCAAUGGGCGAAAGCCUGACGCAGCCAUGCCGCGUGAAGGAUGAAGGUCUGAGGAUUGUAAAAUUCUUUCACCGGGGACGAUAAUGACGGUACCCGGAGAAGAAGCCCCGGCUAACUUCG